This 218-nucleotide ribosomal RNA is filed under the name Escherichia coli. Its description in RNAcentral is "partial 23S ribosomal RNA". It matches the Rfam family "Bacterial large subunit ribosomal RNA", at positions 511 to 731 of the family's 2925-position model. The record is from RNAcentral. Lineage: Bacteria; Pseudomonadati; Pseudomonadota; Gammaproteobacteria; Enterobacterales; Enterobacteriaceae.
AAGGCGAAAAGAACCCCGGCGAGGGGAGUGAAAAAGAACCUGAAACCGUGUACGUACAAGCAGUGGGAGCACGCUUAGACGUGUGACUGCGUACCUUUUGUAUAAUGGGUCAGCGACUUAUAUUCUGUAGCAAGGUUAAUCGAAUAGGGGAGCCGAAGGGAAACCGAGUCUUAACUGGGCGUUAAGUUGCAGGGUAUAGACCCGAAACCCGGUGAUCU